RNAcentral lists this long non-coding RNA (474 nucleotides) under Lactuca sativa (garden lettuce). Its description in RNAcentral is "long non-coding RNA (LSAT_LNC005887)". Lineage: Eukaryota; Viridiplantae; Streptophyta; Magnoliopsida; Asterales; Asteraceae. The record is from RNAcentral.
AAAAAGUUCUGUAAUGGAAGAAAGUAAAUCUCAAAGUUCCAAGAAAAGCAGGGAGAUAUGUGGACAUCAGCAAAAAUGCUGCUUAUUUCAAAGCUUAUGACCAAUUAUAUCACACUCAUUUGAGAUUACAGCAUUACAAUUAAAAAAAAGUCCUAAGCUUACAAAGAAAAAGAAAACCUUAAAAUCGACGCAGCCAAACAUCAAGAUGCUUGGUACCACAAUAAACAAACAACAAUGACAACACCACCAAGAUAGAAGAUAAAUCAAGAACUAGAAAACCCGAAUACAACCUUAAUUAGACCCACCAAGAACACCCUUGAGUUUCUUAAUCUGUGCUACAUCAAGGAAAGUAGUCGCCGCCACCAACUCGGUUGGCAAUUCAUUAGCAAACAGAGCAAAAUCAGUAAUCUGAAGUCCAGGCACCGCACUACCGAAGCUAACAAACGCCUGAGCACUACUCUUACCGGAAUUUAG